GAGGGCGUAGCUCAGCCGGCAGAGCAGCGGACUUUUAAUCCGUUGGUCGAGGGUUCGAAUCCCUCCGCCCUCACCC
RNAcentral lists this transfer RNA (76 nucleotides) under Chloroflexota bacterium. RNAcentral's name for it is "Chloroflexi bacterium (sediment metagenome) tRNA-Lys". It matches the Rfam family "tRNA". From Rfam's summary of the family: Transfer RNA (tRNA) molecules are approximately 80 nucleotides in length. Their secondary structure includes four short double-helical elements and three loops (D, anti-codon, and T loops). Lineage: Bacteria; Bacillati; Chloroflexota. The record is from RNAcentral.